This 388-nucleotide ribosomal RNA is filed under the name uncultured Bacteroidota bacterium. RNAcentral describes it as "bacterial SSU rRNA". It matches the Rfam family "Bacterial small subunit ribosomal RNA", at positions 378 to 763 of the family's 1533-position model. The record is from RNAcentral. Lineage: Bacteria; Pseudomonadati; Bacteroidota.
AAAGUCUGAACCAGCCAUGCCGCGUGCAGGAUGACUGCCCUCUGGGUUGUAAACUGCUUUUAUACGAGGGUAAUUUGAGUUACGUGUAACUUAUUGAAAGUAUCGUAUGAAUAAGGAUCGGCUAACUCCGUGCCAGCAGCCGCGGUAAUACGGAGGAUUCGAGCGUUAUCCGGAUUUAUUGGGUUUAAAGGGUGCGUAGGCGGUUUAGUAAGUUAGUGGUGAAAAGCAGUUGCUUAACAAUUGUCGUGCCAUUAAUACUGUUAGACUAGAAUUUAGUUGAAGUGGGCGGAAUAUGUAGUGUAGCGGUGAAAUGCUUAGAUAUUACAUAGAACGCCAAUUGCGAAGGCAGCUCACUAAGCUAUAAUUGACGCUGAUGCACGAAAGCGUG